UCCGUUGGUGAACCAGCGGAGGGAUCAUUACCGAGUUUACAACUCCCAAACCCCUGUGAACAUACCUUAAUGUUGCCUCGGCGGAUCAGCCCGCGCCCCGUAAAACGGGACGGCCCGCCAGAGGACCCAAACUCUAAUGUUUCUUAUUGUAACUUCUGAGUAAAACAAACAAAUAAAUCAAAACUUUCAACAACGGAUCUCUUGGUUCUGGCAUCGAUGAAGAACGCAGCAAAAUGCGAUAAGUAAUGUGAAUUGCAGAAUUCAGUGAAUCAUCGAAUCUUUGAACGCACAUUGCGCCCGCUGGUAUUCCGGCGGGCAUGCCUGUUCGAGCGUCAUUUCAACCCUCAAGCCCCCGGGUUUGGUGUUGGGGAUCGGCUCUGCCUUCUGGCGGUGCCGCCCCCGAAAUACAUUGGCGGUCUCGCUGCAGCCUCCAUUGCGUAGUAGCUAACACCUCGCAACUGGAACGCGGCGCGGCCAUGCCGUAAAACCCCAACUUCUGAAUGUUGACCUCGGAUCAGGUAGGAAUACCCGCUGAA
Molecule: ribosomal RNA, 536 nt
Filed under: Fusarium oxysporum
Lineage: Eukaryota; Fungi; Ascomycota; Sordariomycetes; Hypocreales; Nectriaceae
Description: eukaryotic LSU rRNA
Rfam family: 5.8S ribosomal RNA (bases 182-335)
Source: RNAcentral